Molecule: ribosomal RNA, 253 nt
Filed under: uncultured bacterium
Lineage: Bacteria
Description: partial 16S ribosomal RNA
Rfam family: Bacterial small subunit ribosomal RNA
Source: RNAcentral
UACAGAGGGUGCGAGCGUUAAUCGGAAUUACUGGGCGUACAGCGCACGUAGGUGGCUAUGUAAGUCGGGUGUGAAAUCCCCGGGCUCACCCUGGGAAUUGCGCAUGAUACUGCGGCGCUUGAAGACGGGAGAGGAUGGCGGAAUUCCCAGUGUAGAGGUGAAAUUCGUAGAUAUUGGGAAGAACACCGGUGGCGAAGGCGGCCAUCUGGCCCGUAAUUGACGCUGAGGCGCGAAAGCGUGGGGAGCAAACAGG